AGUCGAGCGAACGAAGGGAGCUUGCUCCCGGAUGUUAGCGGCGGACGGGUGAGUAACACGUGGGUAACCUGCCUGUAAGACUGGGAUAACUCCGGGAAACCGGAGCUAAUACCGGAUAGUUCCUUGAACCGCAUGGUUCAAGGAUGAAAGACGGUUUCGGCUGUCACUUACAGAUGGACCCGCGGCGCAUUAGCUAGUUGGUGGGGUAAUGGCUCACCAAGGCGACGAUGCGUAGCCGACCUGAGAGGGUGAUCGGCCACACUGGGACUGAGACACGGCCCAGACUCCUACGGGAGGCAGCAGUAGGGAAUCUUCCGCAAUGGACGAAAGUCUGACGGAGCAACGCCGCGUGAGUGAUGAAGGUUUUCGGAUCGUAAAGCUCUGUUGUUAGGGAAGAACAAGUGCGAGAGUAACUGCUCGCACCUUGACGGUACCUAACCAGAAAGCCACGGCUAACUACGUGCCAGCAGCCGCGGUAAUACGUAGGUGGCAAGCGUUGU
This 500-nucleotide ribosomal RNA is filed under the name Bacillus safensis. RNAcentral describes it as "bacterial SSU rRNA". It matches the Rfam family "Bacterial small subunit ribosomal RNA", at positions 60 to 544 of the family's 1533-position model. Lineage: Bacteria; Bacillati; Bacillota; Bacilli; Caryophanales; Bacillaceae. The record is from RNAcentral.